GAUGAAGAACUUAGCGAAAUGCGAUACGUAAUGUGAAUUGCAGAAUUCAGUGAAUCAUCGAAUCUUUGAACGCAUAUUGCGCUCUCUGGUAUUCCGGAGAGCAUGCUUGUUUGAGUAUCAGUAAACACCUCAACUUCCAUAUCUUUUUUGAAAUGGGAGUUGGACUUGAGUGAUCCCAACGCUUUUCCUCACCGAAAAGUGGCGGGUUACUUGAAAUGCAGGUGCAGCUGGACUUUUCUCUGAGCUAUAAGCAUAUCUAUUUAGUCUGCCCAAAAAACAGAUUAUUACCUUUGCUGCAGCUAACAUAAAGGAGAUUAGUUCUUGUGCUGACUGAUGCAGGAUUCACAAAGACAGGCUUCGGCCGACUUUGUAAACUCGAUCUCAAAUCAAGUAAGACUACCCGCUGAACUUAAGCAUAUCAAUAAGCGGAGGA
This 433-nucleotide unclassified non-coding RNA is filed under the name soil metagenome. RNAcentral describes it as "partial contains 5.8S ribosomal RNA, internal transcribed spacer 2, and large subunit ribosomal RNA". The stretch from base 1 to 120 matches the Rfam family "5.8S ribosomal RNA", at positions 35 to 154 of the family's 154-position model. The record is from RNAcentral.